UUGUUUGGCUUGGGACCAUGAUGACAUACAGUACAAUAUAUGCGAUAUAAUCAUUGCCUGGAAGUACGAUUUUGCUGCUUCCAAUGAUAAAGAGCUUCUGAUGUGCUGGAAGUUAGCGAUGUUAAAUUUCAAAACACGGCAUACCCUUUUAACAUGAUUUUUAAAAUUUAGUACAGGAUCCAAGAUCACACCUAGGUAUUUAACUUCUUCCACAUUUUUGAUCAUGUAACUAUCCACAUAGAUAUUUGGGAAAGCACUUUGAAUUAUUUUGUUUGAAAAAUACAUUGUGACCGUUUUCUCUGUAUUCAGUGUAAAGCAAGACUUGUUCAUCCACUCUGUUGCUUUGUUCAUUGCCACAGAUAUUUUAGCAGCGACAGAACUGACAUUAGAACCGUGAGUAUAUAAAACCGUGUCAUCAGCGCACAUCAAGGCCUCCACUUCAUCACAGAUGGAAGGUAGGUCAUUGAUGUACAAACUGAAGAGCAAUGGCCCCAGAAUAGACCCCUGGGGUACCCCUGUAGUACCGGAUCUGAACGAUGAAGUUUUAUCAUUUAUUCUUACGCACUGGUAACGGUCUGCUAGGUAUGAUUGAAGCCAACUAAUGGUGUUUGCGGCGAGAUUGAAAUUCCACAGUUUUGUCAGCAGCACUGAGUGGUUAACGGUGUCGAAUGCCUUACGUAGAUCCAGAAAAAUGGCCCCAACCACCCCUCCCUUCACCAGACUGGAUUUGAUCACCUCGAGGAAAUAACAACAAGCUGUGUCGGUGGAGUGUUUGGGUCGGAAGCCAAAUUGCAUGGGGUGUAACAUAUUUACAUUGUCGAGGUGCUCAAUCAGCUGUUCGGCGACAAUUUUUUCAAUAACUUUAGAAACUGCAGGGAGAAUACUAAUGGGUCGAUAAUUCUUAAUGUCCUUUCUGUUUCCUGAUUUAAAAAUGGGCGUGACAAUUGCAGUCUUACAGGACGAAGGGAAUACACACUCUCUAAACGAUUGAUUAAUUAUGUGCGCAGUUGGUUCUGCAAAGUCCUCUUUAUAUUUUUUAGUAACAGCGAAUCAAGACCCCAUAAGUCCUUUGCUCUCAAGUUAGAGAGUGAUGUAAUAACUUUGUUGACCUUGCCUUCAUUUACACAUUCAAAGUCCAGUACUUCCACCAGAGUGGGUUGUGGUCCUCCUGUGGGACCAGCAGCCGUGGCCCACACAAUGGCUGCAGAUGGUGUUAAAAGCAGCUCUAAGGGUUUACUUAGUUCCAGAAUUGAAGUGAUGAAGUACUCAUUAAACAUGUUGGC
This is a long non-coding RNA of Cyprinus carpio carpio, 1283 nucleotides long. Lineage: Eukaryota; Metazoa; Chordata; Actinopteri; Cypriniformes; Cyprinidae. The record is from Ensembl.